Molecule: transfer RNA, 69 nt
Filed under: Candidatus Atribacteria bacterium
Lineage: Bacteria; Pseudomonadati; Atribacterota; Atribacteria
Description: tRNA-Trp
Rfam family: tRNA
About the family: Transfer RNA (tRNA) molecules are approximately 80 nucleotides in length. Their secondary structure includes four short double-helical elements and three loops (D, anti-codon, and T loops).
Source: RNAcentral
AGGUCCGUAGCUCUAACGGCAGAGCACCGGUCUCCAAAACCGNNGGUUCAAAUCCUGCCGGGCCUGCCA